GGAGAGACCGUGGCUCAGUGGUAGAGCAUCUGCUUAGCAUGCAGAAGAUUAAAUGCCAGGUUCAGUCCCUGGCAUCUUCA
Molecule: transfer RNA, 80 nt
Filed under: Sphaerodactylus townsendi
Lineage: Eukaryota; Metazoa; Chordata; Lepidosauria; Squamata; Sphaerodactylidae
Description: tRNA-Ala
Rfam family: tRNA
About the family: Transfer RNA (tRNA) molecules are approximately 80 nucleotides in length. Their secondary structure includes four short double-helical elements and three loops (D, anti-codon, and T loops). Further hydrogen bonds mediate the characteristic L-shaped molecular structure. tRNAs have two regions of fundamental functional importance: the anti-codon, which is responsible for specific mRNA codon recognition, and the 3' end, to which the tRNAs corresponding amino acid is attached (by aminoacyl-tRNA synthetases). tRNAs cope with the degeneracy of the genetic code in two manners: having more than one tRNA (with a specific anti-codon) for a particular amino acid; and 'wobble' base-pairing, i.e. permitting non-standard base-pairing at the 3rd anti-codon position.
Source: RNAcentral